ACCCUCUCAGAGUCUCACCUGGAGAGUUUCCAGUACUCUACCAGUCUCGGCUAUGGGCGGGAGAGUGAAGUAGAGGCAUACUCAUUCCAUUCCUAGUUUGGCCAGUGGCUAGCAACUGGAGGGCAAUCUGCUACAAGU
This is a small nucleolar RNA of Ornithorhynchus anatinus (platypus), 138 nucleotides long. The record is from RefSeq and is a predicted model, not a curated record. NCBI's taxonomy places the organism in Eukaryota, Metazoa, Chordata, Mammalia, Monotremata, Ornithorhynchidae.